GAAGGUCAUUCAGUUAGAGUGACCAAGUUGGGGUUUACUCUGAGGUCUUUCUAACCCAAAGCUACAAUGAAAUACUACUACACUGCCCCCAAAGCUUGUUCACAGGCAUGUCUUGAUGAUGUGGGAGCUGAUCUGGAAGAAGCCAGGGUAUCAGAUUAUCCCCACUGCACCUCGCCUUCCUUCCAGACCUGGCCAUCUGUCGCAGGUGCGAGGCACAGGGCAGGAAGCGUGCCCUCAUCUUGCUGUGGAGGAAUCGGAUACCAUUAAAGAACUAGGGUGAGUUCUUGCAGUUACCAGAGCUGAGGUUCAAGAUGACAUGCAGAGCCGGGAAGUGGAAAAUACCAGGAGGAAUAUGCCUUCUUGGACGACAAUUCUCCACCCCAGUUUCCAAGUCCACUCCGACUUUUUCCUCAGUCUAGACUGGAGAUAUUUACAGCGGGUGAGUGAAACUUUAAUGAAAUGCCCUGUUAAACACAGACCUCAUCAAGCUUGGAUUAUAGGUUCAGCUUGGAGCCCGCCGUUCUCACGGGCGGUGUGGAUGAGCGCAGAAGCCAGCUUCCUGGCUCACGGACAACCGAAAUUCUGAGUUUAUAUAAAGUUCCCGGUCAGAAUAAACAGAAAAUGGCAUUUUUACUUAA
Long non-coding RNA from Talpa occidentalis (Iberian mole), 638 nucleotides. RefSeq lists it as uncharacterized. The record is from RefSeq and is a predicted model, not a curated record. The transcript is spliced from 3 exons. Lineage: Eukaryota; Metazoa; Chordata; Mammalia; Eulipotyphla; Talpidae.